CCUCUGUCGGAAUAAUACACUUGUUGGAAGGACACCAUUCCUUUCACGAACUCUCUCCCUUAUUAAACUAGCCAAUGUAGAACUUGGUACUAGUAGAAAAAAUGAAAUAGGCACCCCCCCUUUAGCACCGGUUCUUGAAAACCGGUGCCAAAUGAAAUGGGCGGGAUUAAACAAUUCGAUUUUGGCAUCCGUUUGCCUUAAACCGGUGCCAACUAUGGUAAUUAUGACCGGUUCAUACCGGUGCGAAUUAAAAAAGACAAAAAAAAAAAAAAAAAAAAAAAAAUAGAAAGGUAUGCGUUACUCUGCUUCUUCUUCCUUUGUUUCCCCUUGCUUUUCAUUUUCGGUUUUCCCUAACUCUCGUUUUCGCCCUUCUCUUAGCUUCAACCACCUCUGAAGUUCCACCUUUUUCCAUAUCUCUCCUCCGUUACGCGUGCUCGUAGUUCUCCAUUGAAGCGCAUUCUGAGCUUUGUCCAUAUCACUCCUCCACUACGCGUACUGUUAAUUCUCCAUUGAAGCGGAUUCGAGCUUUCUCACCUCCAUUGAAGCAGCUUCGAGGUAAGAAUGUGUUUUUGUCCUUUUUAGAUUAUCGAUUUCAGUUUUCGCAAUCUAGGGUUUGUUGUUGAUGUGAAAUUUGAAUUUAGGGUUAGUUCUUGUAAACUAGGGUCAACGAAAGGGGUGGAGGUUUCAGGUUGGGAAAAGGGAUGGGAGUUUAGGGUGGUUUCGGGUUGGGGAAUUCAAGUUUUGGGCGGUUUCGUUGGUGGGCCUGGGGCGGGAAGUCUAUUGCGCUCAUGUGGCUCUGGAAGGAGGGUGGUUUCGGUGGUGGUGCAGGGGGAGGGGGUGGCUGUCGGGGCUGGGCUGGGGAGUGGCUGUCGGGCUGGGUGGGGAACUGUUUAAUAAAAUUUUUUGAUUUUAGGGUUUUUGAAUUUUAAUUAGAUAAUUGAAUUUUUUUUAGUUUUUGGGGUUUCAUUGUUGUAUUGUUGAAGUUAAUAUAUUGAUUUUAAGGAUUUUGAAUUCAAAUCAAAUGAGUAAGUAAUUUAAUUUUUAGUUUGAAUUUAAAUUUUAUUAUUUGUAAUUUUAUGUAAUUGAGAUUGGAUGAAAUCAGUUUUUUAGUGGUAAUUCGAUGAAAUUAGGAUGAAAUCAGUUUUGGGAGUUGAUGCUCGAGUUGUUAUUGUUGGGGUAUUGUUUACUUGUUCUUGUUAGAAUUGGUGUUCGGAUGUUGUAUACUUGUUGUUUGAAUUGGUGUACGGGUGGGAAUGUUGUUUACUUGUUAUUCGAAUUGGUGUUCGGCUGUUGUUUACUUGUUCGAAUUGGUUUUGAGGUGUUGUUGGAUUGUUGUUGUUCGAAUUGUUGUUUGAUUUGGUCUUGGUAUUGUUGUUGUACUUGGAUUGAAUUGAAUUGUUUGAGUUGGAUUGAACUGAAUUGAAUUGUUUGAGUUGGAUUAAUUUGAUAAAAAUGGUACUACUUUUGGAUUGUAAUACUAAUCAUCGUUAAGCUGCAACUUUAUGGGUGUAUCGUGUACGUCAUGCUUUAGUGGGAAUAAGUGAUAUUAGUGUGGGUUGGUCUCUAAAAAUUCAUGGUUUAACUAAUUUUCUGUUUUUAUUAAUGUAUUUAUGCAGAGUGAGCCUACUGUAAAUUUUUAAUAUGUCUUCUGGCUGCUUUUAUGCUCUAGACUACGUUUCAGUACACUUAUGCCAUUUGGUAGUCUAUAACUAAUAAGAUUUAAGUAAUGAGCUUGGUGGUUCUAAAUAGUAUAUGUUUAAUCCAAUAUAUGUGAGGAAGUGGCUUAUCAAGAAGUUUGUAUUUUUCUGCACUAAAAUAAUACUUCGUAGAUUUCAUGAAGAGCAUAGAAUUAAUAAUGUCAGACUUGAGAAGCAUGUUUGUAAUAUGACUAUGGGCUAAGAUGAUUUUAAUUUGUUAUUAUUCAAGGUUGAUUAUUUUUUUUUAUAGCUUUAUUUAUCUGAAUAGAAAAAAGAUCUGGCCAAUUUGGUUAUCAAUGCUUGAUGUUUGUAAGAGUAUAAUUGUGUUGACAAAAUUAGAUUAGCUUAUUGGAAAUUAAUAUGAUAUGUUAAUGAUCUGAGUUUAUUGUGAAUUUUGCUUGUUCAUUGACAAAUUUUUGCAAGCUAUAAACAUGUUUACCUGAGGUGUUUUGUCAGUUAGAUAGAAUUGAGAAUAUAGAAUUGUUGUCCUAGGAGUCUGCUAGUCUACUUAAGUAUAUUAGGCAAGUCUUAUCUUGUUGCAAGUUCCUGAGCUUAGAUUUAUCACACAUAAAUUGGAUGCAUCAAUAGAUUAAGUCUUUUCAAAUGAUGUUUAUGCUAGCAUGAUUUAGUCAGGGAGUUCUGAGUGCACUAACUAUUGAGCAAAAUCUCUAAGUCAGCUUCUUGGUUUAUAUUAUUCUUGGAAAAUAUUAGAUUGAAGAGUACAUUGCUUGUUUAUUGGCCAAGUUUGAGUUAUAUGCUGCCAUUUGCACCACUGUUGUUAAGUCUGAAUUUCUGAAGUGCAUGCAGUUAGUGCACGUUCUGGCAGCAUAAUAAUGAUACUUAGCUAGCUCUAGUCCUAAAAUCAGGAGAGCCAUUUUGCUGAAUAUGUUAGAUACCAAUUUGAACAGUUUCUAUCUUUACAUGUUGUGUAAUUUGAGUAGAAAAGUUUUUAACUGCAUACUUAGGACUACCAAUUCGUUACCUCAUGUUAAAUUGCUAUUGAAGUGAGAAUAAUCAAUGCCAAAGAUAUGUGAAUUCUAAAGUCUGAUUCUGCUUAAAAUAGUUUCUGAAUGUCUGACAUGAUAAGUAACUUGCUAUUUCUUUGGCAUUAUUUUAUCAGUCCAACAUCAUGGUUGUAUGCUAUGAAAUUUCCAGGGAUUUCUGGAAGUAAGGUUAUCUGAGUAAUAUAAUCUGGGUGGAAUUAUUUUCGAGUAAAAUGUGAGCAGGAUUUAUUUUGGGAAUUUUCAUAAGAACUAACACUAGUAGAAAAUUUGAAAUAGGCAUCCCCCUUUAGCACCGGUUCUUGAAAACCGGUGCCAAAAGCAAUGGGCGGGAAUGGAAAAUUCAGAGUUGGCACCGGUUCCCACCUAAACCGGUGCCAACUCAUUUAAUUAGCACCGGUUCAAACCAAUGCCAACUUUAAAAAAAAAAAAAAAAAAGAAAUCAAUGGAGUUGGCACCGGUUCGCCUUAAAUCGGUGCCAACUAUAGUAAUUAGCACCGGUUUGAACCGGUGCCAAUUUUUUUUUUUUAAAAAAGCCCGGUUUAUAACGUCUUCUUCUUCGUUCAUUCAAUUCCCACGCUCUCCCUCUUCUCUUUGCUCCACCCCUAAGCUUACUCCAUUGAAGCAGCUGCCGCCGCACGCACCACGUCACCUUCUCUUUAGUACUCCAUAUCCACCUCUCCUCCAUUGAAGCAGCUUGGAGGAGGAAGCAAGAGCAGUAGGGCUGUUGAGAAGUGAGAAAAUGGCAAAUUUAGUUGGGUGUUGUUGUGAGGGUGAUGAUGAGAGAUUGCUAGUUGCUGAGUUCAUGCCCAAUGAAACACUUUCUAAGCAUCUCUUUCACUGGAUGCAGCUGCUGUAGCACAAUUCUGGUCCUGGCUGGAAGCUGAAAUUAGCAAGGGUGUGACAUUGACAGAGGUGGAAGUGGCAGACAAACUUCUUGAGUUUCGUUCCAAGCAUGAUGGUUUUGUGGAUACAAGUUUUGAUACUAUAAGUGGUACUAUUCAAUUGCUCUUUUGACUAUUGAAUUAUAUCCUUUUAAAUAGCUUUUAACCAACUCUGUUGAGUAUAUUUUUAUAUUAAGUCAUUGCGAAGAACCUCAAAAUACAUGAGUGAUAUAUUUUUAAAUCUUGUGAAUUUUGCUGCUAUAUUUUAAGCAUUUUGAUUUUUUUUUUAGGUGAGAAAUAAAGUAAUUUCUGGAAACACAGAAAAAAGGAGUGGUAGUAGACACAGUACUGUUCUAUCAUAACAUGCACAAUCUAAGUUACACAGUGGCAAGAAGGGUAUUUGACCAACUUUCAAACCUGGUUCAGAAACAUGAUUUUGCAGCUUCCUGUUGUACAUGUAUGACUGUUUCUUUUUGUUUAUUUACUGGAAAUGAUAUUUAUAAAGUGCUUCAUGUAAGGGUUGCCCUAGCUUCUUUCUCUUUAUGUUUUGUAGUCUAGAUUGUACUUCAUUACUUUUUGGACCAAUUGUAUUUUUUAUGCUUCCUCUCUUUGGAUUGUGGACUCAGGCUCUUCUCUCCCCCAUCUUUAACCCAAAGUAAAAAAAAACGCUGUUUUGUGUAUAUUUGCAUUUUUUAUGUAUGUAGGCUGCUAGGUUACCAUUUGGAUAAGAUUUUAAAAUUAAUAUUAGUACAAUCUGUUUAAUUGCUGGUGUUGACAUGUUACCUUAUCCAUUUCUACCAUUUAUGCAUCCACUUGGUCUUGAGGAAGUUUGUUUUUGUAAAUUCUCUUGAAUUCUGAUGCUUUGGCUCCCUGAAAAUUUCAUCUAGCAUACUUCACUCUAUGUUUCUUGGAAGUUUAAUAAAGAUUUGUAGGGAGCACAUUAUAUAGAUGGGACAACAGACAUAACAAGGGCGGUUCAUUUUGGUGAACCUACUUCUCGAGAAAAAGAGUGUUUCACUCAUGUUUUACAGGUGCUAAUUACGACUUCCAAAUCCAUUAAUCUUUUAUGAGAAAUUAACACAUAUGUACUUGCUCUAGAUAUUUGUUAUGCUUAUUUGCUGGCCAUUGCCUAGGCCCCUCGCACAAAAAAAAAAAAUGGAUAUAUGUAUUAAAUAUUCAUUUACGAUAAGAUAAAUGCAGGCUCUUGACUAAAGCAGUGUGACAUAUGAAACUCGUUCGCUCUUGCCUGAUUGUAAAGGUCACCAAAUUUUUGGAAUGGAAGAAUAAUAUACUACCAGAUUUUAUGCAUUAUUGAUUCUUUUGCCCCCGUAUCUGGCUUGUCUUGGCAUUGCUCUCUCUGAUUUUAGUAUAAACAUUGUUUACAUUCUUUCUAUAUGCUUAUUUCUUAAUAGACUCUCCUAUCAGGAUCUUUUAAGGAUUAUGCAGCCUUCUCGAACUAGGCGUUCUGAUGUUAUUACAAGCAUGAUUAAAACUCUUUUUGCCCAUUUUAUGAUUAAAAAGAUCUCCUACCUGAAUCUUUUUAAGGACCGUCUAGCCUUCUCUAAUUAGUUCCUUUUGCCUGAAUUAACACUUAUCUGAACUUAUUCCAUUAUAAAAGUGAAUAUACCUUAAAAAAGUGAAUCUUACAUGUUUCUGAUUUUAGAAAUUAUGUGAACAACUUGACCCUGUGGCUCAAAGCUUUGGUUGUUGUGUCGUGUUUAUAUACAAGUAUGAUAUUGGGGAAUUACGAGUACACUUCUAUUAUCAAUGAAACAAGGGGGUAGUUGAAGCAGGGAGGGGGGAGGUGCAGCAGGGGGCCAGGACAGGUGGAGCAGGGAUGUAUUAAUCAUCGGAUAAAGGGCCCUGAAUCUAUUGCUGAUCAUAUGUAUCGAAUGGCGUUGAUGGGUUUGAUUGCUGGGGACAUUCCGGGUGUGAACAGGGAGACGUUGGAUGUUAACCAAUUAUGCUUGUUUUGGACACAUUGAUAUUUCCCUUGCUGAUGAGCUGUAUUAUCUUCUUUUGACAAUGCUUUGCACAGAUGUAUCAAGAUGGCAGUAGUUCAUGAUAUUGCUGAAGGACAUCAGAGCAAUAACGAGCAAGACAGCCCAGCAAACAGGAGCACAUCAGAGCGCCACCAGCACAGCACCACAACAGCUCACCAGUACCGCAACACAGAGGACCACGCAGCAGAACCCAGCAAACACAGCAGCCUGACCAGCAAGCAACACAACACUAUAGCAGAGCAGCAAACACCCUGCACAGCCUAACCAGAGCAGAACAGAAACACAGCAGCUCAAGAACUCAAACCAGUCACCCAGCCAGCCUGAACAUAACAGAGACAGCCACAGAAGCAAACAGAUGCCCGGUCAGCAUGAACAGGCAGAGGCACAGCAGCGCAGCAGAACAGAAACAGCAGAGCAGUCUGGAUUAUUUAAUUUUUUUUGGACGAAAAUUGUAAUAUUACAACCUUUUUUAAUAAAAAUAUGUAACUUUAUGUAUAUGUUAAUGUUUCUAUAUCAAUUUAAGUGGAAAAAAUGCAAAUUUUUUUUUUUUUAUUUUUUUGGGGUAUUUUUGGCAUCGGUUUGGACCAGAACCGGUGCCAAAAGUUUUUUUAAAAAUUU
Chenopodium quinoa (quinoa) is the source of this 6203-nucleotide long non-coding RNA. RefSeq lists it as uncharacterized. The record is from RefSeq and is a predicted model, not a curated record. NCBI's taxonomy places the organism in Eukaryota, Viridiplantae, Streptophyta, Magnoliopsida, Caryophyllales, Amaranthaceae. The transcript is spliced from 4 exons.